Non-coding RNA from Cinara cedri, 330 nucleotides. The record is from the annotation of a GenBank genome assembly. NCBI's taxonomy places the organism in Eukaryota, Metazoa, Arthropoda, Insecta, Hemiptera, Aphididae.
ACACGAUAAGGGAUAAUAUAUCCGUUGAUACAGAACCAUUCAGAACUUGUUGCUGAUUUAAGAGAUCACGACGCCCGCGUCUUUCGAGACGAUAAGGGGAGGAGGGUUAUCGGGAAGUGAAAAAAAAUUAUCUUGCGGCUAUAGGUAGGUACAUAUUUUAGUGAUAUUUACAUAGAAAAUAAAAAUAAGUUCAACUUCAUAUUGUAACAAUGUUUUAUCCAAAACUAUUGAGAACGUGCAACUGCAACUUAAAACAAUGUAUGUAAGCCGUAGAUAGAGGUGUAUGUAUACAUUAUUUAUGAGAAGGGAUGGGGUUUCUGACCAACCGUU